Non-coding RNA from Oryctolagus cuniculus (rabbit), 3224 nucleotides. The record is from RefSeq and is a predicted model, not a curated record. Lineage: Eukaryota; Metazoa; Chordata; Mammalia; Lagomorpha; Leporidae.
GCUGCCCGGAGCGGGAGCGGUGUGGUGGCCCUGCGGUGGGGCGGCUCGGGCUCGCCCCGCCGCCGCGGGCGUGCAGGUCGGCCGCUGUGUGCGGCUGCCGGCCCCGGGCUCUGGCCCCGCGUGGAGCGCCGUCGACGCCGGGCCGCCCGGAGCCCGGAGCCCGGCCUGCGAGGCCGGAGCAGCCCCGCGCCCCUGGGCCUGGCGUCCCGGGUGCGCGGAGCGUCCGCAGCCCGCGCCUGUGGGUGCCGGGGUGCGCUCUCUCGGCGGAGCGCCCCGCGCGCCAGGCUGCUUUUCCGCGGCUUUGAUGGUGCUGUGGGCCUCUAAUAGCCGUUGCGAAACGCGGUGAGGAAACAGGGAUUUUUCCCCCCUUUAUGCCUCGACUUCGUUAAUGAUCGCGUAAUUUACAGUGAAUACUUGAAAGGAAGCGCCUCCCUCCACCCGCCCCGAGAGCAGUGCAUUGGAAAAGCCCUCGGAUGAUGAUGCCGAAACCGUCUCUCUCCAAAUUACAGCCGCCGAGGAGAACAGUUUGACUUCAUUUGCUACUAACGAGUGCCCAUUAAGGCAAUUAAAGCGAGGCCCGAGGAAAACACGCAGACCCAGCUCCGGGCUUGCGGCCCCGACACCCCGCUGGUGUCCGGUGCCCCUGGCCCUCAAGCACGAAGGCAACGUUCGGCCUUGCAGUGUCGCGGCAGUGCAGAGGAGGGGCCGCGUGGGGAGCCCUGACCGCUGGGCCUGCGGGGUCCGUCUCUGCUCUCCGGACGGUGGAGGGAGAGGCACGGCCCAGCAGCGCAGACCUGAUGGUGCUGGUGUCAACGUUGGAGCUGCCGCUUCUCGGGCUGCGUGCCCUGCGGACGGCUCUAGACUCCAGACCCGGAUAGCCCCUGGCAAGAUGAAAACCUCGGUAAUAAGCUCUGUUGGGAAAGUCUCAGGCUUGCCCAGAGCUCUGAGGUCGAAGUGAUGAACAAGUCCAGUUUUAAGCAGUGCUGCUGGCACGGCCUUUCGUGGCCAGGAACGGGGGCCCCCAGGAGCCAGCGUGGCCGCUGACCCGGCCACAAGGACGCCUCCAGGACCCGGGAUGCCCCUGGAAUUGCCAGUUUCUUUUGCACUCCCUCUGCUUCUGUCAGCAGGGGGAAGGAACCCUGCAGGAAGAGCCGGAUCCCCUUGGCUGGGUGAAUUUCUGCUACUUCCUGAGCCAUGUCCUUAGGCUGAUGUUCCUGUUAGUGUGAUGUCUGCAGUGGCUGGGACUGUGCUAGGGCUGAAUCCAGGAGCCAGAGCCUUCAUCCAGGUCUGCUGUGCAGGUGGCAAGAGCGUGCUACUUGAACCGUCACUGCUGCUUCCCCAGGAUCUGUGGGUGUGAGCUGGAGUCAGGAGCUUGAGGCAGGAGUGAACCCAGGCUCUCUGAUGUGGGACGUAGGCACCGUAACCACGAGGCUCAAUACCACUCCCUGAGCGAGUGCUUUGGAAGCAGCCGGAAACCAUCGAUGGGAGCACAGGUCUGCCCAGGACGGUGAUAUCCACGAAAGAAGCCCUGGGAUAGGGCCAGGAGACGAGAGACCAGACGUGGGACAGGGUGCUGCCAGAUGACGCCUGCGCUCGGCCCGACGGAACUGGCCAUCCCAUCGCAGCAGUGCCAGACGAGUUACACGGCGGACACGGCGGUGGGUGACUGCAGGAGCUGUCUCUCGUCCUCGCCUGGUGGAGCUUCGAGCCUGGAGAGACUGAAUGCACUCUGAGAACGCCUGCAAGAUUUCUCUCCCCUCUAAGCGCUGUCGCGAGGCCACGAGAUCACUGAUUUGAGCUGCCUGCGAUGUGUUUCUCUUGUACAGAGUUUGCUUAAGAAUUAACUUCAGCCAAUUCCACAUGACAGCUAUUACAUUGUAUUUCUUCAAUUAUAAGCUUGUGUCUUUUCAAAUGUUAAUGGCCCUGAAACCAGGCUGAGGCUUAAAAUUGAUUUUUAAAAGAAUUUGUCUUCCGUGCAGAUGUGGCCUCUGCCUGUCAGGUGUUGUCACCUAAUUUGAGUCAUUUGAUUUGGCAGAACCACCUAGAGUUGGGUUUUAUCUUAAAUUGAAUCCCUAAUUGUCACUUGCAAUGUCUUCAAGUAGAUUACAUUCCAGGGCAGCGGGGAAACAGGAGACAUUAUAGAGAGAAGGACCCGGGCGCAGAGCUGCAGGAGGGAGAGUCCUUGCAAUGAAGCAAACACCUGUGGCUGGAGACCCCCGAACUUGCUGUUGUCUUGAAAGUCAACAACCACUGGGCAGGGAGGACGUGGCCCCUGGCCUGCACCGCUCUCUCUGUCUGGUGUGAGACACACUGCGAAGGCUUGCACAGGCCAGGCAGUGCAGUCAGCCGGUGGCAAGAGAAGAGAUUAGCAAACAGGAGCCCUGCAGUGGAGAGUGCACGCGACUGGUCCAUGCGAACACAGGACAGAGGCUUAGGAGGGGUGACUCACUCUCGAGCUGACUUCAAGAGAAGCUGUCUACCUCCAGCCGCAGGAAUUCAAUUAAGGGAAAAACAGAACGUUGAGUUUCACCAAAUAGAAAGCCGAGAGCGUGCCAGUGCUCUUCUGUGUGCCGUGAAUUAUGCUGGCCUCCUUAAGGCACGAAAGAGUGAAGGUCACGAGUGUGAGCGAUGGCAAACGGCGUGUCUCCACCGCGCUCAGCAUCACUGUCAUCGGCCCAAGGUGAGUGCAACUUGAGACCGCUUCGUGUGGAGGCCUGGGCUUAGACUUGAAUGGUGGGGCAGGCACUGCGGUGUAGUAGGCUGAGCCUCUGCCUGUGGAGCUGGCAUCCUGGAUGCUCUUCCCAUCCAGCUCCCUGCUGUGGCCUGGAACAGCAGUGGAGGAUGGCCCAAGCCCUUGGCCCCUGCACCCAUGUGGGAGACCAGGAAGAAGUUCCUGGCUCCUGGCUUUGGAUUGGCUCAGCUCUGGUCAUUGCAGCCAUUUGGAGAGUGAACCAACGGAUAGAAGACUUUUCUCUCCUGCUCUCUGUCUAUAACUCCGCCUCUCAAAUAAAUAAAUAAAAUCUAUAUUAAAAAAAAACAAACUGGAAUCAUGAAGCUAGUGAAUAUAGUGUAAUGGGUGUCGUUGUCACCUAAGUUGUCUUUCACGUCAUUUAAUGUAGUUCUACCUUUUUUCCCCUUCCAAAACAAAGCUGUUAUUGAAUCUGUGGCUACCUUAUAAUUGUUGAAAUUCCAGCUGUCUCACUUCUGAGUCUUCGUAUCCAAAA